GUGAGUCAUCGAAUCUUUGAACGCACCUUGCGCUCCUUGGUAUUCCGAGGAGCAUGCCUGUUUGAGUGUCAUUAAAUCAUCAACCCCGAGACGUUUGUUCGCCUUGUGGGCUUGGACUUGGAGCAUGCCAGCGAAGGUCGGCUCCUCUCAAAAUCAUCAAGCGGGAUUUCAGCCUCUGGGUUCCAGAAGUCGAGUGUGAUAAUCAUGUUGCACCGUUGUUUGGAACCCUUCAAGGGCCUCGCUUACAAUCGUCCUUGGACAAACAUCAUUUGAAUUUGACCUCAAAUCAGGUAGGACUACCUGCUGAACUUAAGCAUAUCAAUAAGCGGAGG
RNAcentral lists this ribosomal RNA (332 nucleotides) under uncultured fungus. RNAcentral's name for it is "eukaryotic LSU rRNA". The stretch from base 1 to 71 matches the Rfam family "5.8S ribosomal RNA", at positions 84 to 154 of the family's 154-position model. The record is from RNAcentral. Lineage: Eukaryota; Fungi.